RNAcentral lists this ribosomal RNA (494 nucleotides) under uncultured bacterium. RNAcentral's name for it is "partial 16S ribosomal RNA". It matches the Rfam family "Bacterial small subunit ribosomal RNA", at positions 28 to 507 of the family's 1533-position model. The record is from RNAcentral.
GACGAACGCUGGCGGCGUGCUUAACACAUGCAAGUCGAACGGAAAGGCCUGCUUUCCCUUGUGGUUUGCGGGUACUCUAGUGGCGAACGGGUGAGUAACACGUGAGUGAUCUGCCCCCAACUUGGGUAUAAGCCUGGGAAACUGGUUCUAAUUCCCGAUAGGACUGCAGGGUGGUGCCUGUGGUGGAAAACGAUUUUCUAGUGGUGGGGGAUGAGCUCGCGGCCUAUCAGCUUGUUGGUGGGGUAAUGGCCUACCAAGGCGGCGACGGGUAGCCGGCCUGAGAGGGUGGACGGGCACAUUGGGACUGGGAGACGGCCCAGACUCCUACGGGAGGCAGCAGUGGGGAAUAUUGGACAAUGGGGGGAAGCCUGAUGAAGCGACGCCGCGUGGGGGAUGACGGCCUUCGGGUGGUAAACUCCUUUCGACAGCGAGGAAGCCACCUGGUUGGAAGGGUGGUGACGGUAGUGGUAGAAGAAGCCCCGGCUAACUACGUG